GUACAGAACACGGAAUCCAAAUUAAUCAUGCAACACGGAGCUGUGGUCCCAUCACCCUGCCCCAGUGCCCCCAGUAAGAACAGCCCUUGAUGAACAUGCAAGCGCUGGCAGGAGAACAAAGUUUUCUCUGUCAGAAAACUCCUAUGUCUUCACCUCUGUAGGUAUCUCAUGUGGUGCUACCUCAGAUGUGACUUCCAAGAAUCUGAGGUAUCUCAGCACCAAAUCUGGGCUGGAAGAGAGAAACUGAGCCUAAAUCCUCAAUCUCAAGUCAAGCCAGAAGCCAACCAGGCACUGCAGCAUGUUAAUCUGCCUGAUGUGGCCCCUCAACCAUGAGAAGUUGUGUGUGACCACACCUGAGAGGCCCCAAGGGCAGGAGGAACUCCUGGCUGGAAGCUGAACUCCUGUCCAGUAUUUCCCUCCCAAUUUCAGGGACUGGAAAGCCCCAGCAGAUCCAGGCAGGCAAAGAGGAUGGAGCUGGCAGAGCAUGGGCUGGAGGUGGUGGGGACUUGGCUCCCUGGAAAAAGCCAGGACAGCUUCAUUCCAGUUCACAUCCCACACCACGUGUGGAAGGAGGGGACAGGUUGAAGGGAGGGGGAGGACGCCAGGACAAAACGCUGUCAGCAGGAAGUGAGUUCUCUGCUGGUUUGGCACUGCCCUGCUGGCAGCAGUGACACCAUCCCUCCUCCCCCUGCUCCUCGGGAAGCAGUGCAGGGCUCCCAGGGACCGGCAGAUGGCAACCACAGUGAGCCCAGCGCUCAUCCUCCCUCCAAGUGCCUGGCAGUUUUGCCCUUGGCAAACUGCUCUGGAGAUCCCGGCUGGCACCGAGGCGGCUCAAAGUGAAAGUCAGCACAUGCUCACAGCUGUGCCCUGGAAUCCUCAGCGAGCCCUGCCCAUGCACCAGCCCCAGCAGCAGCCUGGAUUCAUGCUCACAGGUGUGCACAGAACACCUCCGUGCACACCAACUGCACCAGGGGCAGCAAUUUCCCCACCUGAACACGUUACCUGGCUUUUCUCUGCGAUAGGAAUCACCCCCAUCCCAAAAACCAACCCUAGCCAACUGCUUUAAGCAU
Vidua chalybeata is the source of this 1070-nucleotide long non-coding RNA. RefSeq lists it as uncharacterized. The record is from RefSeq and is a predicted model, not a curated record. The transcript is spliced from 3 exons. Lineage: Eukaryota; Metazoa; Chordata; Aves; Passeriformes; Viduidae.